Molecule: ribosomal RNA, 1620 nt
Filed under: Ascaris suum (pig roundworm)
Lineage: Eukaryota; Metazoa; Nematoda; Chromadorea; Rhabditida; Ascarididae
Description: eukaryotic LSU rRNA
Rfam family: Eukaryotic large subunit ribosomal RNA
Source: RNAcentral
AAUGGAUGGCGCUUGAGCGGGAGACUUAUACCCGACCGUUGCUUGGCUUGUGUGUUUCUCCUCAUAUGAGAGAUUCGCCUGGCCGCAACGAGUAAGAGGGUCGCAGUGGUUUGCGUUGAAGGCUUUGGGCGUAGGCCCGGCUGGAGCUUCCACUGGUGCAGAUCUUGGUGGUAGUAGCAAAUAUUCAAGUGAGAUCCUUGAAGACUGAAGUGGAGAAGGGUUCCACGUGAACAGCAGUUGAAUGUGGGUCAGUCGGCCCUAAGAUACUGGCUAAUGCCAUGUGUUAUCGAGAGAUGGAGUUCAAAUCUGUCUCGUUUAUCGAAAGGGAAACGGGUUAAUAUUCCCGUACCUGGACACGGAGAUAAGCGCUCAUUGCGAGUGUUUAGCGCGGUAACGCAAACGAACUCGGUAACGUUGAAUAGAGCCCGAGCUAGAGUUCUCUUUUCUAGUUAAGGAACGAAUUCCCUGGAAUCGGUUCAGCCGGAGAUAGGGAUGUUGUUUCCGUAAAGCGCCACGGUUCCUGUGGUGUCUCGUGCGCUCUAUUCGGCCCUUGAAAAACCGAGGGAGGCUAUUUGAAUUUCGUGCCAGGCCGUACCGAUAUCCGCAGCAGGUCUCCAAGGUGAACAGCCUCUAGUCGAUAGAAUAAUGUAGGUAAGGGAAGUCGGCAAAUUAGAUCCGUAACUUCGGGAAAAGGAUUGGCUCUAAGGACUGGGCCGGUCGGGCUGCAGUGUGAAGUGAGCUCGGUUUGAUCCAUGCAGUGCAACGCUCGGAAACGGGUGGCGCUCGGCUAGCGUUCGAACUGUCUUGUGGACCGCUGCAGCUGUGUGCCGCGUCAAUAAUGGCGUUGGUGCUUCGGCGGGCGCUAAACAGUCGACUUAGAACUGGCACGGACUCGGGGAAUCCGACUGUCUAAUUAAAACAGAGGAGACAGAUGGCCCUUGCGAGCGUUGACUGUCUCUGAUUUCUGCCCAGUGCUCUGAAUGUAAAAGUGAAGAAAUUCAACCAAGCGCGGGUAAACGGCGGGAGUAACUAUGACUCUCUUAAGGUAGCCAAAUGCCUCGUCAUCUAAUUAAUGACGCGCAUGAAUGGAUUAACGAGAUUCCCACUGUCCCUAUCUACUAUCUAGCGAAACCACAGCCAAGGGAACGGGCUUGGCGAACACAGCGGGGAAAGAAGACCCUGUUGAGCUUGACUCUAGUCCGACUCUGUGAAGAGUCAUGAGAGGUGUAGCAUAAGUGGGAGGCUUUGGCCAACAGUGAAAUACCACUACUUUCAUCGAUUCUUUACUUAUUCGGUAAGACGAGAAUUGAGCCUAUCCGGCUCUUCAUUCUGGUGUUAAGUGCAGCCACUCGGUGGCCGUUCGACUCGCGCCGAAGACAGUGUCAGGCGGGGAGUUUGACUGGGGCGGUACAUCUGUCAAAUCGUAACGCAGGUGUCCUAAGGCUAGCUCAGAGAGGACGGAAACCUCUCGUAGAGCAAAAGGGCAAAAGCUCGCUUGAUCUUGAUUUCCAGUACGAAUACAGACCGCGAAAGCGUGGCCUAUCGAUCCUUUUGAAUUAGAAGGUCUCUAGCAAGAGGUGUCAGAAAAGUUACCACAGGGAUAACUGGCUUGUGGCAGCC